This 542-nucleotide ribosomal RNA is filed under the name Pichia kudriavzevii. Its description in RNAcentral is "eukaryotic LSU rRNA". It matches the Rfam family "Eukaryotic large subunit ribosomal RNA", at positions 103 to 667 of the family's 3401-position model. The record is from RNAcentral. Lineage: Eukaryota; Fungi; Ascomycota; Pichiomycetes; Pichiales; Pichiaceae.
AAGAGCUCAGAUUUGAAAUCGUGCUUUGCGGCACGAGUUGUAGAUUGCAGGUUGGAGUCUGUGUGGAAGGCGGUGUCCAAGUCCCUUGGAACAGGGCGCCCAGGAGGGUGAGAGCCCCGUGGGAUGCCGGCGGAAGCAGUGAGGCCCUUCUGACGAGUCGAGUUGUUUGGGAAUGCAGCUCCAAGCGGGUGGUAAAUUCCAUCUAAGGCUAAAUACUGGCGAGAGACCGAUAGCGAACAAGUACUGUGAAGGAAAGAUGAAAAGCACUUUGAAAAGAGAGUGAAACAGCACGUGAAAUUGUUGAAAGGGAAGGGUAUUGCGCCCGACAUGGGGAUUGCGCACCGCUGCCUCUCGUGGGCGGCGCUCUGGGCUUUCCCUGGGCCAGCAUCGGUUCUUGCUGUAGGAGAAGGGGUUCUGGAACGUGGCUCUUCGGAGUGUUAUAGCCAGGGCCAGAUGCUGCGUGCGGGGACCGAGGACUGCGGCCGUGUAGGUCACGGAUGCUGGCAGAANGGCGCAACACCGCCCGUCUUGAAACACGGACC